This 460-nucleotide ribosomal RNA is filed under the name uncultured bacterium. RNAcentral describes it as "partial 16S ribosomal RNA". It matches the Rfam family "Bacterial small subunit ribosomal RNA", at positions 338 to 795 of the family's 1533-position model. The record is from RNAcentral.
CCUACGGGAGGCAGCAGUGAGGAAUAUUGGUCAAUGGACGAGAGUCUGAACCAGCCAAGUAGCGUGAAGGAUGACUGCCCUAUGGGUUGUAAACUUCUUUUAUAUGGGAAUAAAAUGUUCCACGUGUGGGAUUUUGUAUGUACCAUAUGAAUAAGGAUCGGCUAACUCCGUGCCAGCAGCCGCGGUAAUACGGAGGAUCCGAGCGUUAUCCGGAUUUAUUGGGUUUAAAGGGAGCGUAGGUGGAUUGUUAAGUCAGUUGUGAAAGUUUGCGGCUCAACCGUAAAAUUGCAGUUGAAACUGGCAGUCUUGAUUACAGUAGAGGUGGGCGGAAUUCGUGGUGUAGCGGUGAAAUGCUUAGAUAUCACGAAGAACUCCGAUUGCGAAGGCAGUUCACUGGACUGCCACUGACAUUGAUGCUCGAAAGUGUGGGUAUCAAACAGGAUUAGAUACCCGUGUAGUC